GUGUCAGCCGCCGCGGUAAUACAGAGGGUGCAAGCGUUGUUCGGAAUUACUGGGCGUAAAGCGCGUGUAGGCGGCGCUGUAAGUCCUGUGUGAAAGCCCUGGGCUCAACCCAGGAAGUGCGCAGGAUACUGCAGGGCUUUGAGUACUGGAGAGGAUGGCGGAAUACCCGGUGUAGAGGUGAAAUUCGUAGAUAUCGGGUGGAACACCUGUGGCGAAGGCGGCCAUCUGGACAGUCACUGACGCUGAGACGCGAAAGCGUGGGGAGCAAACAGGAUUAGAUACCCUGGUAGUCCACGCUGUAAACGAUGGAUGCUAGAUGUCACGGGUAUUGACCCCUGUGGUGUCGACGCUAACGCAUUAAGCAUCCCGCCUGGGG
RNAcentral lists this ribosomal RNA (376 nucleotides) under uncultured bacterium. RNAcentral describes it as "bacterial SSU rRNA". It matches the Rfam family "Bacterial small subunit ribosomal RNA", at positions 505 to 878 of the family's 1533-position model. The record is from RNAcentral.